Small nucleolar RNA from Ziziphus jujuba (common jujube), 91 nucleotides. RefSeq annotates it as small nucleolar RNA snoR26. Lineage: Eukaryota; Viridiplantae; Streptophyta; Magnoliopsida; Rosales; Rhamnaceae. The transcript has a single exon. The record is from RefSeq and is a predicted model, not a curated record.
GGAGCAUCACUAUGAGUUUAUUAUAUUGUUAUCCUUGCACUUUGAUUGCCCAUGAAGAAUAUGCAUGGAGAAAAUUUUCUUUCAGGUGCUC